GUCUACGGCCAUGCCACCCUGAACAAGCCCAAUGUCUGAUCUCGGAAGCUAAGCAGGGUCAGGCCUGGUUAGUACUUGGAUGGGAGACCACCUAGGAAGACCAGGUGCUUUAAUAU
RNAcentral lists this ribosomal RNA (116 nucleotides) under Pteropus alecto (black flying fox). The record is from RNAcentral. RNAcentral also lists the same sequence under 1 other name. Lineage: Eukaryota; Metazoa; Chordata; Mammalia; Chiroptera; Pteropodidae.